Molecule: ribozyme, 74 nt
Filed under: Rodentolepis nana
Lineage: Eukaryota; Metazoa; Platyhelminthes; Cestoda; Cyclophyllidea; Hymenolepididae
Description: Hymenolepis nana HDV ribozyme from F. prausnitzii
Rfam family: HDV ribozyme from F. prausnitzii
Source: Rfam by way of RNAcentral
GGGGUGCGCAAUAGACUUACCUCCACGUGGUGCACCCUGGGCAACGUUUAUACACAUACGGAAAAGAUGUCUAU